RNAcentral lists this ribosomal RNA (468 nucleotides) under uncultured bacterium. Its description in RNAcentral is "partial 16S ribosomal RNA". It matches the Rfam family "Bacterial small subunit ribosomal RNA", at positions 28 to 507 of the family's 1533-position model. The record is from RNAcentral.
GACGAACGCUGGCGGCGUGCUUAACACAUGCAAGUCGAACGGAAAGGCCCUGCUUUUGUGGGGUGCUCGAGUGGCGAACGGGUGAGUAACACGUGAGUAACCUGCCCUUGACUUUGGGAUAACUUCAGGAAACUGGGGCUAAUACCGGAUAGGAGCUCCUGCUGCAUGGUGGGGGUUGGAAAGUUUCGGCGGUUGGGGAUGGACUCGCGGCUUAUCAGCUUGUUGGUGGGGUAGUGGCUUACCAAGGCUUUGACGGGUAGCCGGCCUGAGAGGGUGACCGGCAAAAUUGGGACUGAGAUACGGCCCAGACUCCUACGGGAGGCAGAAGUGGGGAAUAUUGCAAAAUGGGCGGAAGCCUGAUGCAGCAACGCCGCGUGCGGGAUGACGGCCUUCGGGUUGUAAACCGCUUUCGCCUGUGACGAAGCGUGAGUGACGGUAAUGGGUAAAGAAGCACCGGCUAACUACGUG